UCCACAUCUCAGCAUCAGAUGUCAUUACGCCCUCUGACCUGGAUUCCGCGCUGACCCCUUUGAAUAGUGGGAUCAAAGACGCGACAGAGAGCAGAAUACUUGUUCCGAGGAACCACGAGACUCCACCGUUAGAUAUCUGAGAAAAAAGGUCUUGGCCCUUGGACAGUUCCACUGCCAUUGCAGCGACAAAGCCUAUCAUGGCAAGCCUGCCAUUGAUCCUCUCUGGUGCGGGUCCGCUAAAUGCGAACAAAUCAAGGAAGUUUGUGCUGACCUGUUAAUCACAGUCAUACGGGCGUUUACAUUAGAAGUGGAAGCAUAAAUGCAAUCACAAAGUCCUUGCUCUACUUAAAUUGUUAAAAUUAAACAUUUCCGAAAUAAAUCCUGUACCUUUGGCUCAGGAGUAGAACCUGACUCUGCUAUCUUCUUGAUCUGGUCACCCUGCAAAUUGAUUCAAAUGUUAACACAAUUAAUCCUAAGAACCAUCACCCAAAGUAUACACACAGGAAGUCGAAAUAGAUUCCAAACUCACCAGCUUGGCCUUGCACUGCACCCGUUUGCUAGCACUGCCACGUAGUCGUGGCACAUACGUCGCAGAAAACAAGUUGCUCACUCGAGACCGGUUUUUCACCAGGCUACUGGCUACUGGAGUUGCAAGGACGGUCUGCAUGACUGUUGAUGUGGCCAUCACUUAAUUAGAAGAAUGUUUAUCACUCGAGCUGUGAUUAAGAAACUUAAUCAAUAUCUAAUCUGUGAAAGCUAUUCUAAUGCUAGAGGCAACGUUCGUAAGGGAUAUCACUACCAGUGAGUUGAAGCUGGAGCUGUUUGCUUUGUAAUGAUAAUUAAUGUAUCUGAUAAUGGUUUGGUAGGCUGUUAUAUAGCCGAUGGGGCAAGAGAGGAGAGGGCGUUUUGCUCCCACGUCAUCUAUAUCUAAUUAAAAAGCUGAUUGGAUCACGUGGCUUCGGGUGUCCUCCACAUGGUCAAGUGGGUUACGUGGCCUCCUCACAGUCACUAGUGGACCCCACCCCAUUUAAGAAUCUGAGGCCAUUGUUGUUCUAGGUUUUUCAGCUGAGCAGCGACCACGGCAUAGUAAUCGAACUGGACUCAGCCACGAUUUUACCGCAUUAAUUUGACACGUUCAAAAUAACACAGCUAAAGUAAAUCGUACUAAUGUAUAAAAUUUUUGCAAUUGGCCGACAUGUUUUUUUUCUUAAAUAUCUUUUUUUAACAUGUGGUUGAUGAUAGAUUGUGUACUUUUAUUGAAUUUUUAUUAAUAUCUAUUGUAUAUUGAUAUUUCACGUCAAGUUUAUUACAACUAAAUGUUUUUUUAGUAAUUCAAAAAUAAUGUUAAAUAAAUUCUAUAAUUAAAAUUUCAAAUAUUUACAUCACAUUAUAACUCAAUCAGAAACUCGAUAAAAAUCAUGUGCAAACCCUCAAUUUUAUUUUAUUUUUUUGCAUUGAUUUAUUUAUUUUUUAGACAAAUCAACUUAUUUAAUUCAUCAUUUUAAAAAAAAAAAUUCUUUUAAAUUUUAGCAAGUCAUUUAACAUUAAUUACUCUAUUAUCUAAUGUCAAUUUACAAUUUAUAUUCUAUAGAUUUGUAAAUGGAGAAAUAUCAAUUUUUUAUUCACAUCUCUCUCCAUAUAUUUGAAUUGAUUAUAGAUUUAUUUCCCAUUAAAACUUCUAAUGAGAAAAAAAAACAAAAAAAAAACACAAAAUAAUGCAUCUUAUGUUUAAUCAAGACACAAAACUCAACAACAAGAAUAUAGAGAGAAAUGACAUUAAUAUUUAAAAUAAAUAGAUAAAUAUUUUGAAGGUAUUUUAUUGUCAUUGCACGGGAGGACCCGGUUUUUUCAGAAGGCUACAAGAUAGCAUUUUCAUAACGUUGCAUUAAAGAAAAUUAUUCAAUUAUUAAUUAGUUACAUGUUUCAAAUUUAAGAUGAUAACUUUGAAUCUAAUUGCAUUUUUAUGUGACCUUCCACCUAAUUUCUUUCCCCUUAUGGAUUCCGAAUCUAAGAAAAGCCUAGACUAUUAGUUGUACUCGAUUGACCACUUCACAAAAUUGCGACAAAAUCCAAAACAAUUUAUGCUUUCCAUUGGUCAUGGUUAUGGCUCUCGGUAAGAGUUGCUUCUACAUUAGAUUUCCACAAGUUCAUUUAUUAAAAAAAGAUCUUUAUAGUUUUUUUGCACUGAUUUCAUUGAACAAGAAGAUAUAUUUUACUUUGUGGAGAACAAUUUAAAAGUAUCGUUUUCGGCGAGUAAAUUAAACAAAUAGAUGGUGAGUAUAAAGCUGGGGAGAAAAUGAUAGGAAUGGAAAAUCAAACCCAAUUAAUUUGCUAAUAUAGAAGGGAAUUUUGUUCGAUCUAAUUUGACAUUAUCAGUAUCAUUUAAACGAUAAUCAAAGGAUCAUGCUUGCAGUCGUUGCUAAUAAAGAAGGAGAAAGAUACAAUGUUAUAACAAGACGUUUAAUAAAACUAACAUGAUUUAUGUCAAAACAGAGAGCACAAAAAAAGGAGACAAUAAAAGGCAGACGAAGUAAAGGAAAAAAAAAAAAGUGUUUUGAGAGAGAAAGAGUGGUAGCAUGGGUUGGUGCUAGGGUUGAGAAAGGGCAAAUAGGAGUAAAUUAAUGCUAUAUUUUUUUCAAAUUUAUAAAAUCAAUCCGAGUUUAUUGAUUUUGACUGAGUUUAUUGAGUCAAAUUUAAUUUUACAAGUUUUCAAGUUUUUAGUUUGAUUUUGCAUAUUUGAUAAAUGUUGACUCGUAAAAUCGUAUGAUUUUACGAGUUAACUCAUGGUGUUAAUAAAAUUGCUUAUGAUUCUUUCGUAUUUUAUAUUUGUUUUUUAUGUUUUAAAUACUUGAUAAUUAAAAUUGUAAGUUUUAUAAAAUUUUAAGCAAAAGUAAGUUUGUGAUUUAUAACACAAUGUAUGUAUUUUAUGUAAAAUCAUUUUUUAAAGAGAAAAUUAUCCUGAGUAUCCUAUAGUUUACUUAAUUUAACACUUUGUUUUUAUUAUUUUAUGAAUUACAUAAAAUAUCAUCCAUCAAUUAAAAAGUUUAAAUCAAUUGAAAUGAUGAAAUUAACCUUGUAUAUAUUAUUUUAUAAAAACAAUUAAACAACAAUGUGAACCUUCUUUUAGACUGGCUAUAACAAACUCAUUUAAUUCAAGGUUAAACCUUAUUUUAAUUGUCUUCCAUGCAACGGAUCUAGGGUUGGUGACUAAAAUAACCAUAAUAUUGCUUUGCUUUCUUCUCUUCUCUUUGAGCUUCUCCUUCCCAUUCUCUUCUUUUUUUCGCCUUCAUCAACUCCCCUUUCACUUGCCUCCAAUUCUUAUAAUUCCAAUUCCAUGGAUUUCAAUUCCAUUAAUUUCCCAUGAAAUUCUUUUACAAAGUAUUUAUCAUUAUUUUUUCUCUCAAGAAAUCAUCAAUUCACUUUAAUUUCUCUCGAAUCCUACAUCCAAGAAACAUAAAAGAACCCAAUUAUGAGAAUCAGAUACUGAGUCGACCCAUAAAGACAAAGACAAAGGCCAUAAACUCACAAAUUAACUCAAUCAGUUGAACUAAGUUUCUUUUCAUCUUGACCCUUUCAAAACCACCUGUAGACUAAGCUAUUCAAUGUUUGAAUGAUUGUUUGGCUUACUUGAACUAUUACGAGAGUGUCAUCACCUAAAUGGAACAUUGAUAAAUCUCUUAGCGGAGCUCAGGCUAGGCAUAAUUUUAUAUUGGCCGUCAGGUCAAAUUACAUUAAAAUAAUUGAUAGAUUUGGGGUUAGUAAAUGAGUGACUCAGUUUUAUACCAAUCAACUGCGUUUUAUUUUAAGCAACAUUUUUUUGCUUUUAGGUCGAGUUUCCUUUUUCUACCGAGCUUGAAUUUGUGUCCAAUGAUAUUGAGGCUUUUAUUGAAUUUCUAAUUUAUUAUGGUAUAAUAGAUCGUUCAGAAUCAAAAUACUCUCUUCAAAAUUAAAAAUUUAGCUAGAUAAUGUGUGGUUUUUUUUUUUUUUUGCAUGUUUAUUUCCAACUUUUAGCCACUAUUUGGUUGUUAGGUUUUUGUUGAUUGUGAUUAAAGUUGGUUUUGAUUUUGAAAUAAUUUUAGCUUAUGUUGUCCAUGGAAGGACAACAAUAAUGAAGCAUGAAAGUGAAUAAAACCUAAAUUUCCAAAAGGUUUAUGGUUUGUUUGGGCCCCAAGAGUUGCAUUGUGAAUUUUAUGGAAUGGAAGUGCUUAAUAAUAAUUUGGCAAAAUAAAAAUGAAUUGAUUAGAUUUUGUAGGCAAGCUAAUGUAAUCUCCACAUAUUUUUCUUAUAAUGGCUAUUGAGUAGUUAAAGAAUUUAUGACAGUAACUUUUAGUGAUAUUUUUAUUCAUUUGAUACAUUACGGAUUCUCUAGUUAUUAAUUAAAAUAUAAUAGUAAACUUGUAAAUACUUAAUUUUUUUUGUUGAUUUUUUCUUAAUGCCAUAUAAAGUAUAGUGAACUUAUAAAGUUCACAAAGUUUUCUAUAAUUUUCAAAAAAAUAAAGGCAUAAUAUAAAAUUGAGUAAACUUCUGGAUGAUUAGGUGAUUUCUCUUUUUUAAAUAAAAUAACAUCAAAUUGAAAAUUUUUAAUUAUUGUUUUAGUUUUUUAUAUUUUCAUAUUAAAAACUUAAUAUUAUUUGAAAUGUCAUCAAUUAAUGAUUUUACCCAUAGUUAUUAAACCUGGAGCGGUGCGUUUGGUUGACUUGGGACCCGGUCGACCUGGUAGCUAGACCGAUUCGGGUAAGUUAAAAGACCAGACUAAGCAAAACCUGGCAAAACCAGGUAGAGAUCCUUUUUUUUUUUCAAAUGUGUUUUUUCAUCUAACCAAAGACCUCUUUUUUAUAUACAUUUUUAGUUGGAUAUUAACCCUUUUCAAAGUUCACUAUAUAAAUAUUAGAAAGAUUUUUUUAUUUUAUUAAUGUUGGAUUUAAAGCCCUUUAAUAUAUAUACUUUAUGUUCACAAGAAAAAAUUAUUUUUCAAUGUGGGGUAAAAAAAACCUUUUGAAGUGAUCUUUUAAACCUUAUUAUUUAUAACAUGUAUAACCUAUAUUUAUAUCGAUUGUUUUUUAAUUAUUUCAUAUGAAAUAUUAAAACUUCAAAUAUUUUUUUUUCAUUUUUCCGGGUUGACCUGAGUCGACCCGCGUAACUCGGGUCAACCCGCUUAACCCAGGACUAGGAUCCAUGGUCAGGUCAAUUUUCGAGUUAAGUUUUGUAACUAUGAUUUUACCUCUUCAGUAAUAUUUUAAAAAUAAUUUUCAAAUGCAAUGUAAUCAUAUUAUCAAAAGGAAAAUAAAUGUAUAAUUGAAAUAGUGACCUUAUAAUUCAGACGAAAAAAAGGUUAAAUCUAGUAAUUAUUUAAAUUGUUUAAAUAUUAUUCAAACUGUACUACCACCACUUAUUCUAUACAACUAGGAUGAUUUAAAACAUUUGUAAAACCACUCUUGUAUUGGCAUACAUUUAUGUUCAUAGAGAUGAACUUAGAAUUUGUUGACAGAAAAGAUCAAAAUGCACAGCCUUGUUGUCGGGUGGCUAUUACAUAAAAAUAACUUCAAAAAUAAUAUAAGUUCAAGGAUGAUUUUGUAAACAUCUCAAACUUUGAGGGCCAGUGCCACCCUUAGCCGCCCCCUAGAUUUAAGAUUUAUCUCUCCACGUGCAAGUGUUUAUUAGGCCUUUUGGCACAUUAUAUAACAUGCAUUUUAUAGGAUGUCUUGGUAUGACAUCUGAUGUCUCAUUAUUUCAACAUCAAAUGUACAAUGUUAAUUUUAACUUUUUUCUCUUUUUAAUUAAUUUAAUUAAAUACCUAAUCUUUAAAUUAACAGUGUCAACUAAAUUGAAUCUCGUAUCUUCAGUGAAAUCCACUACGGCGAAUCAAAAUGCAAAAAGGAAAAAGAAAAAGAAAAAAAAAAGAGGUUUAAAUUUGGCUGCUUUCGUUCUUACUACGCUUAUGCAUGCAGAGUUCUUUCGUAAGCAAAUAAUAAAACUGAAAACAACACAAGGAGGUUUAUGGAGACAGCUACCUGCUGACAUGCUUGUUUGCUGCGGUUACUCUUGAUGCUUCGAAGGAAGUGAUAAUUUUAGACUUUAUUUUGAUUUCUCUUCCUCCUAAAUAUCUCUAUCUUUGUUGACCUGUAGCGGGUGCGGUAUAAUAUAUCUCCUAAAUAAACUUUUUUUGUAAGUGGCCUAAACUGGAUGGGAUUUGCAUUUCAAUCUACCAUUUUCAUAAAGCGUAGUUGGUCAAACAUUUGUAAUCGGUCGCUGCAACAAAGAUCCGUGACUCGUUAGAAGUCCGAAAUAUCUUCCUAUUGAUGCACCGACGGCUUUCAAACGUGGCAUGUUCCUAGCUAGCAUAACAUAAAGAAGGAGAAGCAAAAUCUACACAAGUAUUAUUUGUAUUUUAUAUAUAUGAUUGAAAACAUAUUUUGCUACUGAAAUUACAUUGAUUCAAGUAUCCAUGUUAACAUCCAUGGCAAUAAUACAAAAAACAGGAACUACAGAAGCGUUCUACACGAGACAUACUCGGUGUAGGCCAACGCAACCAAACCCAACAUGGCAAAUCUACCGUUCCACAUCUCUGCAUCAGAUGUCAUGACGCCCUCUGACCUGGAUUCCGCGCUUACCCCUUUGAAUAGUGGGAUCAAAGACGCGACAGAGAGCAGAAUACUUGUUCCGACGAACCACGAGACUCCACCGUUAGAUAUCUGAGAGAAAAGGUCUUGGCCCUUGGACAGUUCCACUGCCAUUGCAGCGACAAAGCCUAUCAUGGCAAGCCUGCCAUUGAUCCUCUCUGGUGCGGGUCCGCUAAAUGCGAACAAAUCAAGGAAGUUUGUGCUAACCUGUUAAUCACAGUCAUACGGGCGUUUACAUUAGAAGUGGAAGCAUAAAUGCAAUCACAAAGUCCUUACUCUACUUAAAUGGUUCAAACUAAACAUUUCCGAAACAAAUCGUGCCGUAUAAUU
Molecule: long non-coding RNA, 6950 nt
Filed under: Populus tremula
Lineage: Eukaryota; Viridiplantae; Streptophyta; Magnoliopsida; Malpighiales; Salicaceae
Description: long non-coding RNA (PTRE_LNC002805)
Source: RNAcentral